Acanthosepion pharaonis is the source of this 108-nucleotide non-coding RNA. The record is from the annotation of a GenBank genome assembly. NCBI's taxonomy places the organism in Eukaryota, Metazoa, Mollusca, Cephalopoda, Sepiida, Sepiidae.
UGACGUCCAUAUCACGUUUAAACACCGUUUCUCAUACGAUCACCGAAGUUAAUCAACGUUGGCCCGUCAUUACUGAGAUGGGUGACCUAUUUGGAAGACGAGGUGCGG